This 423-nucleotide ribosomal RNA is filed under the name uncultured bacterium. RNAcentral describes it as "bacterial SSU rRNA". It matches the Rfam family "Bacterial small subunit ribosomal RNA", at positions 207 to 622 of the family's 1533-position model. The record is from RNAcentral.
AAGACCUUGCACUUUUGGAGCGGCCGAUGUCUGAUUAGCUAGUUGGUGGGGUAAUGGCCUACCAAAGCUUCGAUCAGUAGCUGGUCUGAGAGGACGGCCAGCCACACUGGGACUGAGACACGGCCCAGACUCCUACGGGAGGCAGCAGUGGGGAAUUUUGGACAAUGGGCGCAAGCCUGAUCCAGCCAUGCCGCGUGAGUGAAGAAGGCCUUCGGGUUGUAAAGCUCUUUCAGCCGGGAAGAAAAGGUUGCGACUAAUAAUCGCAAUCCAUGACGGUACCGAAAGAAGAAGCACCGGCUGACUACGUGCCAGCAGCCGCGGUAAUACGUAGGGUGCAAGCGUUAAUCGGAAUUACUGGGCGUAAAGCGUGCGCAGGUGGUUUUGUAAGUCAGAUGUGAAAUCCCCGGGCUUAACCUGGGAACU